AAUAGUUUCUUUGGUGGUGACCUACUACAUAGAUAACCGUAGUAAUUCUAGAGCUAAUACAUGCGUAAAUCUCGACUCACGAAGAGACGUAUUUAUUAGAUAAAGACCGACCUCGUUCUGCGGUGAAUCAUAAUAACUUCACGGACCGCAUGGCUUUAUGCCGGCGGUGUUCCAUUCAAAUUUCUGCCCUAUCAACUUUCGACGGUAGGAUAGAAGCCUACCGUGGUGUUCACGGGUGACGGAGAAUUAGGGUUCGAUUCCGGAGAGGGAGCCUGAGAAACGGCUACCACA
Molecule: ribosomal RNA, 291 nt
Filed under: uncultured eukaryote
Lineage: Eukaryota
Description: partial 18S rRNA
Rfam family: Eukaryotic small subunit ribosomal RNA
Source: RNAcentral